UGAUUGCAGAAUUCCGCGAAUCAUCGAGUCUUUGAACGCAAGUUGCGCCCGAGGCUCGUCCGAGGGCAUUCCUGCCUGAGCGUCAU
RNAcentral lists this ribosomal RNA (86 nucleotides) under Polytrichastrum sphaerothecium. Its description in RNAcentral is "partial 5.8S ribosomal RNA". It matches the Rfam family "5.8S ribosomal RNA", at positions 68 to 154 of the family's 154-position model. From Rfam's summary of the family: 5.8S ribosomal RNA (5.8S rRNA) is a component of the large subunit of the eukaryotic ribosome. It is transcribed by RNA polymerase I as part of the 45S precursor that also contains 18S and 28S rRNA. Functionally, it is thought that 5.8S rRNA may be involved in ribosome translocation. Lineage: Eukaryota; Viridiplantae; Streptophyta; Polytrichopsida; Polytrichales; Polytrichaceae. The record is from RNAcentral.